Molecule: transfer RNA, 83 nt
Filed under: Gemmatimonadota bacterium
Lineage: Bacteria; Pseudomonadati; Gemmatimonadota
Also listed under: 2 other names
Description: Gemmatimonadetes bacterium tRNA-Leu
Rfam family: tRNA
About the family: Transfer RNA (tRNA) molecules are approximately 80 nucleotides in length. Their secondary structure includes four short double-helical elements and three loops (D, anti-codon, and T loops). Further hydrogen bonds mediate the characteristic L-shaped molecular structure. tRNAs have two regions of fundamental functional importance: the anti-codon, which is responsible for specific mRNA codon recognition, and the 3' end, to which the tRNAs corresponding amino acid is attached (by aminoacyl-tRNA synthetases). tRNAs cope with the degeneracy of the genetic code in two manners: having more than one tRNA (with a specific anti-codon) for a particular amino acid; and 'wobble' base-pairing, i.e. permitting non-standard base-pairing at the 3rd anti-codon position.
Source: RNAcentral
GCCCGAGUGGCGGAAUGGCAGACGCGCCGGACUCAAAAUCCGGUGGGGGCAACCCCGUGUGAGUUCGACUCUCACCUCGGGCA